UAAUCUGGGUUAGACUGCACUUGUUUCAGGCCUGUCAGGUAGACACAGAUGGGCACAUGGGACUGAGAUAUGACACAAACAUGGCUGAGGGAGGGGCAGGACUGGCAGUUCGAUGUUCCAGGCUAUAGAUGCUCACACAGAGAGGGGUGAGGGUCUGGAACAGAUGGUCAGAGGUUAAGGGUGACCAGAACUGGACAGAGUAUUCCAGAACAGGCCUUACCAAUGUCCUGAACAACCUCAACAUGACGUCCAACUCCUGUACUCAAAGGUCUGAGCACUACAGGCAAGCAAGCUAAACGUCCUCUUACCCACCCUGUCUAUCUGUGACAGUCCCUUCAAACAAUGAUGUACCUGAGUCCCUAGGUCCCUCUGUUCGACGGCACCAUCCAGGGCCCGACCAUUGCUUGUACAAGUCUGGUUCUGGUUUGUUUUACUGCAAUGUAAUACCAAAUUAAACUCCAUCUGCCAAUCUUCAGUC
Hemiscyllium ocellatum (epaulette shark) is the source of this 478-nucleotide long non-coding RNA. RefSeq lists it as uncharacterized. The transcript is spliced from 2 exons. Lineage: Eukaryota; Metazoa; Chordata; Chondrichthyes; Orectolobiformes; Hemiscylliidae. The record is from RefSeq and is a predicted model, not a curated record.